UACAGAGGGGGCAAGCGUUGUUCGGAAUUACUGGGCGUAAAGGGCGCGUAGGCGGCCCGCUAAGUCGAACGUGAAAUCCCCAGGCCCAACCUGGGAACUGCGUCCGAUACUGGCAGGCUUGAAUCCGGGAGAGGGAUGUGGAAUUCCAGGUGUAGCGGUGAAAUGCGCAGAUAUCGGGAGGAACGCCAGUAGCGAAGGCGGCUCGCUGGGCCACACCUGACGCUGAGACGCGAAAGCUAGGGGAGCGAACAGG
This 253-nucleotide ribosomal RNA is filed under the name uncultured bacterium. Its description in RNAcentral is "partial 16S ribosomal RNA". It matches the Rfam family "Bacterial small subunit ribosomal RNA", at positions 524 to 776 of the family's 1533-position model. The record is from RNAcentral.